GACCUAAAAUCAAGAAAAUAAAUUGAGAUAAAUAACACAGUUUUAUCGAAUAUCCAAUAGAGGGAGACUAAGGUAAACAUAUUUCAGUGCAGCCCUGCAUUUUGAGGAUGUGACAGUGGCAUCAAGCAGCAACAAGAAGUCUGUUGUUACUUCUGCUCAUCUGACAACUCUCUGUAUUUUGGGGUGGGGCUUCAAAGGUUUGAGAAGAGAUUGUAUAUCCAAAACUAGAUGGAGGAGGAUGUUGUUUUUAGUCUACACAAAUAUUGCUGUGCUGUGUGUUAUCAUUUUAACUUCCAGUUUCAGCCACAAUGUCAAUCCCCACAAUUAUUUUGCUUUUAGUAGUCGCAUGUGAUAGUAAUGGUCAGACCAUUGAGCCAAUCAGAGAGGAGGUGUCUGCACCAGCGGGUAGCAAUAUUACACUUUCAUGCACCUACUCAUCUGCAGUCUCUCUUCAAUGGUAUCGCCAGGACCCUGGAUCACCUCCUCAGUAUAUCCUGCUUAUCCUGCAUGCUGUUGGGUCUCCAUCACUGGCACCAGGUCUGGAUCCUCGACUGUCAGUCAAACUGAAUGAUGAGAAGAACCGUGUGGAUCUGGAGAUCUCCUCUGCUAAAGAGAAAGACUCCGCUAUGUACUACUGUGCUCUGACGCCCACAGUGAAAGGAAACCUACAAACGCUGUACAAAAACCUAACCUGA
Molecule: non-coding RNA, 695 nt
Organism: Salvelinus fontinalis (brook trout)
Lineage: Eukaryota; Metazoa; Chordata; Actinopteri; Salmoniformes; Salmonidae
Source: the annotation of a RefSeq genome assembly